This 493-nucleotide ribosomal RNA is filed under the name uncultured bacterium. RNAcentral's name for it is "partial 16S ribosomal RNA". It matches the Rfam family "Bacterial small subunit ribosomal RNA", at positions 30 to 507 of the family's 1533-position model. The record is from RNAcentral.
AGUGAACGCUGGCGGUAGGCCUAACACAUGCAAGUCGAACGGCAGCACAGUAAGAGCUUGCUCUUACGGGUGGCGAGUGGCGGGCGGGUGAGGCAUACAUCGGAAUCUACUUUUUCGUGGGGGAUAACGUAGGGAAACUUACGCUAAUACCGCAUACGACCUACGGGUGAAAGCAGGGGAUCUUCGGACCUUGCGCGAUUGAAUGAGCCGGUGUCGGAUUAGCUAGUUGGCGGGGUAAAGGCCCACCAAGGCGACGAUCCGUAGCUGGUCGGAGAGGAUGAACAGACACAUGGGGAGUGAGACACGGCCCAGGAGCCGACGGGAGGCAGCAGUGGGGAAUCUGCCGCAAGGGGCGAAAGUCUGACGGAGCAACGCCGGGUGAGUGAUGACGGACUUCGGGUUGUAAAGCUCUGUUAAUCGGGACGAAAGGACUUCUUGCGAAUAGUGAGAAGGAUUGACGGUACCGGAAUAGAAAGCCACGGCUAACUACGUG